RNAcentral lists this ribosomal RNA (838 nucleotides) under uncultured bacterium. RNAcentral's name for it is "bacterial SSU rRNA". It matches the Rfam family "Bacterial small subunit ribosomal RNA", at positions 59 to 895 of the family's 1533-position model. The record is from RNAcentral.
CAGUCGACGGCAGCAUGAUCUAGCUUGCUAGAUUGAUGGCGAGUGGCGAACGGGUGAGUAAUACAUCGGAACGUGCCCUGUAGUGGGGGAUAACUAGUCGAAAGAUUAGCUAAUACCGCAUACGACCUGAGGGUGAAAGUGGGGGACCGCAAGGCCUCAUGCUAUAGGAGCGGCCGAUGUCUGAUUAGCUAGUUGGUGAGGUAAAGGCUCACCAAGGCGACGAUCAGUAGCUGGUCUGAGAGGACGAUCAGCCACACUGGGACUGAGACACGGCCCAGACUCCUACGGGAGGCAGCAGUGGGGAAUUUUGGACAAUGGGCGAAAGCCUGAUCCAGCAAUGCCGCGUGUGUGAAGAAGGCCUUCGGGUUGUAAAGCACUUUUGUCCGGAAAGAAAUGGCUCUGGUUAAUACCUGGGGUCGAUGACGGUACCGGAAGAAUAAGGACCGGCUAACUACGUGCCAGCAGCCGCGGUAAUACGUAGGGUCCAAGCGUUAAUCGGAAUUACUGGGCGUAAAGCGUGCGCAGGCGGUUGUGCAAGACCGAUGUGAAAUCCCCGAGCUUAACUUGGGAAUUGCAUUGGUGACUGCACGGCUAGAGUGUGUCAGAGGGGGGGUAGAAUUCCACGUGUAGCAGUGAAAUGCGUAGAGAUGUGGAGGAUACCGAUGGCGAACGCAGCCCCUGGGAUAACACUGACGCUCAUGCACGAAAGCGUGGGGAGCAACAGGAUUAGAUACCCUGGUAGUCCACGCCCUAAACGAUGUCACUAGUUGUUGGGGAUUCAUUUCCUUAGUAACGUAGCUACGCGUGAGUGACGCCUGGGGAGUACGGUCCAGAUAAC